RNAcentral lists this small RNA (790 nucleotides) under Histoplasma capsulatum var. duboisii H88. RNAcentral describes it as "Histoplasma capsulatum H88 hypothetical RNA". Lineage: Eukaryota; Fungi; Ascomycota; Eurotiomycetes; Onygenales; Ajellomycetaceae. The record is from RNAcentral.
GCUUUGUAUGCACUUCGCUUCUCCCGGUGCAGGAGUGAAAGUAUCGUGUUCUUCCUCGAUUUGGCCGUUAUUCCUUCCGCGGUUUCGAAUUACUAUUUUGUUGCAGAUAUUCCUGUAAGACUACUGCGAACCUUUUGGCCUGCGUGUUUCUUCGCCCGGGCGCCUCCGCUCCUCUGUGCAUCCUGGGAGGGCUACAAAGUUAAAGGAUGUAAAGUGGAAGGAAGGGGGGUUGAGGCAAGAGUGCAAGUGAGGUUAAAUUGUAGAAGAUCAUGUCAACAAAGUUGAUGUAGCUGGAAGAUGGUCUACUCAGACGAAAGAAAACAGCAAUAUCUUUAUUGCACUCCAAAUCCUAAUACAAAUACAAAGUUAUUAAGGUCAUGAGCUUGCAUUGGAUGGCGAACCCCAUCAAGCAAAGUGGUAGAAAUGCCCUGCAAGACUUGCAAAAUUCAUGCAUGGUGCGCGUGAAAGAAUGUCAUACUAAGUUAACAUACAAUAAUGGUGCAGGAAUGGAAUAGGUCAACAUUGGUGGUCCCUCUCAAAAGUAGUUUUGGCAUCGUUAUCGAGGAGCUAUAGUCGCAGCAAGACUACUAGGGGCAGGACUGAAGAAAGGCCCAAUAUGCAACUGUAACAUCUGACUUUGGAUUGGCGAGAUAGUCUUCUUCAAGAUUUGAAGUUUCAAGGGCCUUUAUGAAGUUGACAAACAGGUCGUUAAACUUCGUAGGAAGCUCGAUAUUCUUGUCAGCGACAGUAGUAGCGUGUCUAUUGAGGAGGUCAAUUGUCGGACGAUAUG